Molecule: ribosomal RNA, 1455 nt
Filed under: Triticum aestivum (bread wheat)
Lineage: Eukaryota; Viridiplantae; Streptophyta; Magnoliopsida; Poales; Poaceae
Description: partial small subunit ribosomal RNA
Source: RNAcentral
AUGGCUUCCCUUGGAGACGACGGGGAUGAGAUUCAGGAGGAUGUCCAGGAAGAAGGAGAGGAUCAUCAAGUCCAAGUCCCCGUGGCUGAAGAGGAAGAUCAUGCCGCUGCUCCACAAAGGGUUGCAUCCGGAGGAGAUGCUGGUGACCUUCUUCGUGGGAGAGGAGGAGAGGCUGCAGCCGCCGUUGCUGCCGUUGGAGGGAAUGCAGGCGCCAUCGCCGUCCAAAGCCUGCUGUACGAUGCUCUUACAGUUGAAAGAUAUGUAAGGGACCGGCAAUGGGAACUUCUUCAGGAGUAUCUGCGUCAGUUCAUCCGACGCGCCGGUCAUGAUUACCGCUUACACCAUAUCCCCAUGUUUCACUGUCAUCGUGGUCACCUGAUGAAUUUGAUGGCUGCCGGGCAACACUCACAGGCAAUGGCAUACUUCAUGGAUCAGCUUAAUGGAGAUGCCAUGAGAAACUUUCCCACUCAGUUUGCUAAUGGUGACCGCAUCAAAUCUGAGGUGGACAUGAUAUGGGAGUCCAUCACAAGGGGGAAUCCCAUACAGGAACCAGAAAAUGUUGCUCAGAGGAUAAAUGAUUAUAUGAGAUUCCAUUUCCCACGUGCAAUCGGGUAUCCAUGGAGGCAGGGGAGGAACUUACUAUGGCGUUUCGCAUUCAGAAUUUGCAUGCGACCAAGCGGACAUGCUACUUUCAGAUGCCUUUUGUGUCAAAUGGUAUUUGACAAAGGUAGCAUUCAGUCAAAGCUUGAAAAACAUUUGGAUGGUAAUAAUUGCCCGGGUAUGACAGAGCAUGCUACGAAUGUAUGGAGGGAAAUUGAGUUCCAGAUUAAAGCAGAGAAGAAAUCGGCUUUGAAGAGGCCUUCCAGUUCCCAGGUCAUCUCCAAAGGCCAUUCAGAAAGUAUAAAAAUGCCGAGACUUCAGUCUGCCAGUACUAAAGCCUCAAAAGAGAUCGCAGUUGGAGACCCAAGGCCCAUGGAAACGCAGGGUAAUAUUGGAUACGCCCUUCUAGUGAGCCUUUCUGCAGUUAUCCCUCAAGACUAUGCUGAUAAACUGGAAAUAUGCAUUGGCAUCAUUAAUGAAUCCAUGGACGAGGAGAUCCGCUGGAAGGAGGCAAUGAAUGGGAGAUCAAUAAUGCUAGACCUGCUUCUGUGGACGGAUGUGACAAAGGAUCAGUGUAAAGAACUGAGUAACUACUUCAAUUCCAUCUGUUGUUCAGUGCAGCAACCCCGUCCGCAGCAACCUAAUGCACCACCACAAGAGAUGGUCCCGCCUACUGGUCAUAUUGAUUUUGACAACUUAAAUCUUGAAGGCCUCUUGAACUGCUUCAGUUAUGAUGAAGAAGAGAAAAUUUACAUUGAGGCACCGCCUACCCCGUAUGAUCAUAUAUGGGAUUACGUGGAUCAAGAAGGUGAUGGUGGCCUUGAUGAACCUGAUGGCAACCCUGAAGACCAAUAG